Molecule: non-coding RNA, 544 nt
Filed under: Pan troglodytes (chimpanzee)
Lineage: Eukaryota; Metazoa; Chordata; Mammalia; Primates; Hominidae
Source: RNAcentral
AAUAAUGAAUAUCCAUAAUUGAAAACUGAGGUUACCUUAUACUUUGCUUUGUUCUCUCUGCCAGAGUCCUACCCACUGUAUUAGUUGUUAGAGUUGUGGAACUUAACUGAAGCUUUCUCUGGAUUCCAGAUGUUUUAAGAAUAUUUUCAGCUGCAUGGCUUGACAGCCUUGGGAUUCCCUCACACAUUCACAGUCUUUUUUGGAUCAGUCUGAUGUGAGCAUGAAAACUGGGAGUUGUGGAGCCCACUUAGGAAAUGAUUGCAAUUGUCCAGGAGACAGAUGAUGGUAAUUAAGUUUCCAUCAGCCUGGAACUCAGGGGACAGAAGAUACAUAUUCUGUAUGUAGAGAAUCACUGGAGGUCAAAUGUCUUUGCCAAUUUGAGUUUUUCCACUUGAACAAGAAAAGACUGUCAAGGGAAAGCCAAUCAAUUUCACAAUGUUUAGGGCAUGGAAACAAGAUCAAGAAAGGUGUUUUUCUGGAGACUUUCCAAUCAAAGCAAUGAAGAUUUAAAGUGGAAUAAAAGGAUUGGGCAACAAAUAAAUUG